Molecule: ribosomal RNA, 1369 nt
Filed under: uncultured bacterium
Lineage: Bacteria
Description: bacterial SSU rRNA
Rfam family: Bacterial small subunit ribosomal RNA
Source: RNAcentral
GACGAACGCUGGCGGCGUGCCUAAUACAUGCAAGUAGAACGCUGAAGAGAGGAGCUUGCUCUUCUUGGAUGAGUUGCGAACGGGUGAGUAACGCGUAGGUAACCUGCCUUGUAGCGGGGGAUAACUAUUGGAAACGAUAGCUAAUACCGCAUAACAAUGGAUGACACAUGUCAUUUAUUUGAAAGGGGCAAUUGCUCCACUACAAGAUGGACCUGCGUUGUAUUAGCUAGUAGGUGAGGUAAUGGCUCACCUAGGCGACGAUACAUAGCCGACCUGAGAGGGUGAUCGGCCACACCGGGACUGAGACACGGCCCAGACUCCUACGGGAGGCAGCAGUAGGGAAUCUUCGGCAAUGGGGGCAACCCUGACCGAGCAACGCCGCGUGAGUGAAGAAGGUUUUCGGAUCGUAAAGCUCUGUUGUAAGUCAAGAACGGGUGUGAGAGUGGAAAGUUCACACUGUGACGGUAGCUUACCAGAAAGGGACGGCUAACUACGUGCCAGCAGCCGCGGUAAUACGUAGGUCCCGAGCGUUGUCCGGAUUUAUUGGGCGUAAAGCGAGCGCGGGCGGUUUGAUAAGUCUGAAGUUAAAGGCUGUGGCUCAACCAUAGUUCGCUUUGGAAACUGUCAAACUUGAGUGCAGAAGGGGAGAGUGGAAUUCCAUGUGUAGCGGUGAAAUGCGUAGAUAUAUGGAGGAACACCGGUGGCGAAAGCGGCUCUCUGGUCUGUAACUGACGCUGAGGCUCGAAAGCGUGGGGAGCGAACAGGAUUAGAUACCCUGGUAGUCCACGCCGUAAACGAUGAGUGCUAGGUGUUGGAUCCUUUCCGGGAUUCAGUGCCGCAGCUAACGCAUUAAGCACUCCGCCUGGGGAGUACGACCGCAAGGUUGAAACUCAAAGGAAUUGACGGGGGCCCGCACAAGCGGUGGAGCAUGUGGUUUAAUUCGAAGCAACGCGAAGAACCUUACCAGGUCUUGACAUCCCGAUGCUAUUUCUAGAGAUAGAAAGUUACUUCGGUACAUCGGUGACAGGUGGUGCAUGGUUGUCGUCAGCUCGUGUCGUGAGAUGUUGGGUUAAGUCCCGCAACGAGCGCAACCCCUAUUGUUAGUUGCCAUCAUUCAGUUGGGCACUCUAGCGAGACUGCCGGUAAUAAACCGGAGGAAGGUGGGGAUGACGUCAAAUCAUCAUGCCCCUUAUGACCUGGGCUACACACGUGCUACAAUGGUUGGUACAACGAGUUGCGAGUCGGUGACGGCGAGCUAAUCUCUUAAAGCCAAUCUCAGUUCGGAUUGUAGGCUGCAACUCGCCUACAUGAAGUCGGAAUCGCUAGUAAUCGCGGAUCAGCACGCCGCGGUGAAUACGUUCCCGGGCCU